AUACGUAGGGGGCGAGCGUUGUCCGGAAUGAUUGGGCGUAAAGGGCGCGUAGGCGGCCCGAUAAGUCUGGAGUGAAAGUCCUGUUUUUAAGAUGGGAAUUGCUUUGGAUACUGUCGGGCUUGAGUGCAGGAGAGGUAAGUGGAAUUCCCAGUGUAGCGGUGAAAUGCGUAGAGAUUGGGAGGAACACCAGUGGCGAAGGCGACUUACUGGACUGUAACUGACGCUGAGGCGCGAAAGUGUGGGGAGCAAACAGGAUUAGAUACCCUGGUAGUCCACACUGUAAACGAUGAAUGCUAGGUGUAGGGGGUAUCGACCCCUUCUGUGCCGCAGUCAACACAAUAAGCAUUCCGCCUGGGGAGUACGGUCGCAAGAUUAAAACUCAAAGGAAUUGACGGGG
This 397-nucleotide ribosomal RNA is filed under the name uncultured bacterium. RNAcentral describes it as "partial 16S ribosomal RNA". It matches the Rfam family "Bacterial small subunit ribosomal RNA", at positions 523 to 918 of the family's 1533-position model. The record is from RNAcentral.